ACAAGCAAACAAAAAUAAACAACAAAAAAAGUUAAAUUUCAAAACUGGUUACAAGAAAACUAAAGAAAAUCGGAUCCUAGUCCAGACUGCCUACCUGAGGGCUGAUGGAAGCAUCAAGGAAGCAUACUAUCAGGUGAAAGGUUAAUUUCUCUCUGCAGCCUUUUAUUUAAUCAGUCUCUUAGUUCAAACAGAGUGUGCCAAGAAUGCUGUAGGUUCUCAGGAAACAGGGCUUAAUGGCACUGAUGAUGGCACUGAGAGAUGCUAACAUCCUCAUCGUUUUAGACUAAGUAGGUAAGUUGGAAAGCCACUCUCUUAGUAAUGAGGGCGAGGGGCUUGGAAGAAGUUAUUAUUGGUGUUUCUACGAUUCUCAGCCAUUUUGGGAUACAAGAUGAGUCUCAUUGGCAGGUGUUAGAUUAUUAGGAAAAUUAAGCAGAUGGCACUGGCAAGCUACACCUCCCCUUUCCUCAGCUGCCAGGAAUUCUUACCCUCAAGCUUAGCUUCACAUAUGCUUGUUUAAAAGCUCUUGCCAUUUCAAGGAAACAGAAUCCGUGUCAUCAUUCAAGCAUGCCCAUGACUAUGAACCAAUAGCAUUAUCCACAUUUUCUCAGAGUGUUAAGCAAACACCUUUCUGUUUUCUGUGUGUCACCCAGAACCUGCCACAGUGCAUUCCACCGAGGCGGCUUAUGUCACUGACUCAGAGGAGCAAAGUGAGUGUAUCUCAGCAGUUGUUUGCAAUGUUCAGUGUACCGUAAUAUGGAUCUGAUAUCCUGCGUCAUCACACGGUCAAGAGCAGCCAAGCCUCCAGUCUCUACACAAUGAAAUCAUAGAAAAUAGCAUUUUCAAGAAUGGUGUUUCAUAUCGUCUCAACCAGUCGACUUUGCUCAUCAACCGGGCUUCAAACAAGCCAUGAUCUCUCAGGUCAUCCAUGAGGCCAACCUGCAUCAUCUGUCUUCCCGUGUGAAAACUCAACCCGUGACAAAGAAAUUACUGAACUGUUUCUUAGCAUUUAAAGGAGCAUCCAAGACAUUCCUUUUUCUUUCUAACAUAAAAAAAGCCAUAGAUGUGUA
Non-coding RNA from Macaca mulatta (Rhesus monkey), 1067 nucleotides. The record is from RefSeq and is a predicted model, not a curated record. NCBI's taxonomy places the organism in Eukaryota, Metazoa, Chordata, Mammalia, Primates, Cercopithecidae.